GCAUCAGUGGGGUAGUGGUAACCUGGGUCGUUGCCACAUCGGAUUACGUAAAAGUAUUCGACCCGCCGGGGGUUCGAUUCCCUCCUGAUGCA
Molecule: non-coding RNA, 92 nt
Organism: Mycena epipterygia
Lineage: Eukaryota; Fungi; Basidiomycota; Agaricomycetes; Agaricales; Mycenaceae
Source: the annotation of a GenBank genome assembly